CAUCAGAAGUAAAGACUGACUUUUGAGAGACAGAGGUAUUCAUGGAGGAUAACAGAGCUGGGGGAGUUGUUAUAGCAUCACAUGUGGUUAUGAGACACUUGUAUUGGCGGCAGAUGGUUACAGUUUCUUGGUAAGCUGCUCUUCACCAAAAUCUACACUUGCCAUUCUCAGUGAGUACCUGGCCCUUUUAGCCUCAGGACAAUGCGUCAACCUGGCUUCCCUGGUCCAGAGCGUGUCCAGGCAGCAGUGAUGUAAUGGCAACCACCCUUCACUGACAUGACCCAUUCAACCUUAAUUAACUCUCCAAUGAGUGGGCCACAACUCUAAAUUCUUUAUUCUGCCUCAUUUGGACAUCUGUGAUAAAUUGAAUGAAAUCAAGACAGCAGUACACUGAUUAUCAAGAUCAAGAAAAAUAAGGAAAGACUGACAAGCUAUCACAGACCAGAGCAAGGGAGACAUGAGGAUUAAUGUGGUCUCUGAUUGAGAUCUCAGAGCAGAGAGGAUAUUAAGGUAAGGACAGAGGACACUGGCUGGCUUUACUUCUUACCAUGCUGUUGCUAUCACUCAGAAAUCAUCCAUGGCCCAGUUUUUCCCAGUGCUCCUCUAGUAUUGAGACUGUAAAAGCUAAAACACGUUCCCUGUGACUCCCUUGCAGAAUGAGAGCAUGGACAAGAGCGGCAUUCUCUGGACAUGUGGGUGGUUGCCUAUUCUUGGGUUUAUGAGACCAAUCAGCUUGCAGAACAUAAAAUAGCAUGGAAACUACCACAAGCAUAAA
This is a long non-coding RNA of Talpa occidentalis (Iberian mole), 775 nucleotides long. RefSeq lists it as uncharacterized. The transcript is spliced from 3 exons. The record is from RefSeq and is a predicted model, not a curated record. Lineage: Eukaryota; Metazoa; Chordata; Mammalia; Eulipotyphla; Talpidae.